AAUAAACUCUGCAAAUUACAUACAAUAUCCCUAUUAUUUUAUGUAUAAGUAAUAAAAUAUCUAUUUCUUAAAAAUUAUUUGCUUAUAGAAUACGUUGUAACAUGUCUUACACGGAGUUCUUAUUGCUACGUAAACCGAGUAUGCUACCGUGGCUCUUGAUAUUGAUUGGAUAGAUUUGGCUGACGUAUCAAUAUUUACAUUAUUAUGAUAAACUAUGCGUCUUCCUUGUCCCUUCUAUCGCACACUUUUCGGUAGAAAGACUCUUCGGUUGAAAGGAUUCUAUUCAGUUAUCAUCGUCCUGUAAGUUGGAACGGACACAAUGUCAGAAAUUAUUGUAACUACAGAAAACGUGUGGCAAUAUUACGAAAAAGUGUCGGAAUACGAAGCAGCAUGCAAAUUUUGCAGUCUUAAAUUUAUUUUCGUCGUUCAAUAUAUUUUUCUUCGACAUGUAAGAGAACAGCAUAAAGAAAUAGCAAAAUACGAAGAAACAUAUGAAGGACAACAAGAAUGGCCAUGGAUAUGUUUUAAGUAUAACGAUACUUCCACUUCACAAUGUCUUCUCUGUCGUAAGAAUUUUCAAUCUGAUUUUCAAUCUUUAGUAGAUCAUUUAUGCCAGGAGCAUUUUAACAGUGAAAAAGAUUACGUAUUUCACAAUUGGGAAUGGAAAUAUUGUAAUAGAACUAAUGAUUUUACAGUAGAAUGCAGUAUACGUUCCAACUGCUCCCGCGUAUUCAAUAUUACUAUACAUGACAAAUUAAUUGAACAUAUAAUAAUUAAACAUUCGAAAGAAUUAAGAGAUGCGCGAGGAAUAUACGACAUAGUUCUUUCGUCAGAAUCCAUUCUGAAAUUAAAAGCUAUAGAAAUUGAUAAAAACAUGUGGGAAUAUUAUACCAAAUUGUCGUAAACGUAAAACAAAUUAUACGUCGUAGGAAUAAUUAUAUGUAAAAAAAUAUGCCACUGUGCCAUAUUUGAAAUUGUUUGAAUCGUCAAAAUUGACGAUUGACAUUAUUAUUGGUUGUGAUGCCACUUGAAACGUCGCAUAUACAAGAAAAGCAUGAAGCAAUUUUUAAAUGGGAAGAGGCACACACAAGAAGCCAACAUCAAGAACGACAAUUUUAAAUAUUUAUAUAUAUUUCCGAUAAAGACGAACUAUCUAUACAAUACUCAAGAGUGUCUUAUGUAUGGUGAACUCUUUGUGAUCACUCCAAACUGUCUAACAACACAUCUAUUAGAGAAGCAUUCUAAGGAAAAACAUUAUAAUUCCAUAAAGAACUCUUGGGUAAUGAAAUAUUUUAGACUGGGACAAAAAAAAACUGAUGAUACUGAUAAGAUCAAGUGUACUAUUUGUUACAAAAACAUAUUUGAUAGUACUAAUCCUAUUAUGUCCAAACAUAUAAUUAAAAAACAUUCGAACAAAUUGCAAACAUGCAUCUCAAAAAAAAAUAUGUAAAAACUGUUGCAAAAUUACGAAAAGUUGAAAAAUUUUAUAGUAGAAUGCCGACAAGACAAUUGCGACUUUCAAUCUUCUUACAUCAGUACAACAAACUUUAGUGAACACGUAAAAGAAAAGCAUGUAGAAGUAUAUAAUUAUGAAGAAAGACACGGGAAAAUAUGGCCGUUUCAGUAUUUCAAGUAUUUCAACCCAUAUAUCUUACAAUGUUGGCUCUAUAAUACUGGUCGUCAAUCUGAUCAUAUAGAUAAUUUGACAUAUCAUUUGAAUUACAAGCAUUUUCCUGAGAAACCGACUUUCUAUUUAAUCUGCAACUGGGUAUGGAAAUAUUGUGAAAAAAUUGGAGAUUCUGAAGUGCAAUGUAGUAUUUGUCGCCGCAAAAUACUUCUUGACGUUCAGUUAUGGUGUUUCGAUCGUCACAUUGAAAAUGAACAUCCCGACAAGCUGAUAAGUACACAGAAAACGGAUGACACAGCUGGACCAUCAGGAAAUCAACCAAACUGAAGAAAACAGGUUUGACAUAUCACUUGAAUUACAAGCAUUUUCCUGAGAAACCGACUUUCUAUUUAAUCUGCAACUGGGUAUGGAAAUAUUGUGAAAAAAUUGGAGAUUCUGAAGUGCAAUGUAGUAUUUGUCGCCGCAAAAUACUUCUUGACGUUCAUUUAUGGUGUUUCGAUCGUCACAUUGAAAAUGAACAUCCCGACAAGCUGAUAAGUACAUAGAGAACGGAUGACACAGCUGGACCAUCAGAAAAUCAACCAAACUGAAGAAAACAGGUUUAUCCAGAGUUUGACAACGGACUGAUGAUAAUCUGAUGUGUUGUUAAGCAGUUUGGGGUAAUCACAAAAAGUUUACGACACAUAAGGCACUCUGAAUAUUGUAUGGAUAGUUCGUCUUUAUCGGAAAAAUAUGCAUACAAAUAUUUAAAAUACAUCCAUGGUCUUGAUGUUGGCUUCUUGUGUAUUCCUCUUUCCAUUUAAAAAUUGCUUCAUGCUUUUCUUGUAUACGUUUCAAGUGGCAUCGCAACCAAUAAUAAUGUCAAUCGUCAAUUUUGACGAUUCAAACAAUUUCAAAUAUGGCAAAGUGGCAUAUUUUUUUACAUAUAAUUAUUCCUA
Long non-coding RNA from Linepithema humile (Argentine ant), 2565 nucleotides. RefSeq lists it as uncharacterized. NCBI's taxonomy places the organism in Eukaryota, Metazoa, Arthropoda, Insecta, Hymenoptera, Formicidae. The record is from RefSeq and is a predicted model, not a curated record.